AAAACUCACCUUUCUGCCUCACAACUCAUGAAUAUUCCCACAAAACAUGCCUUAUUACUGCCUCACAUAAUUGACAAGCCUUUAAUAACUAAUGAAUAACUUCCAUAAACUUACCUUUCUGCCUUUCUGCCUCAGGUAACAACACUUGCCACCUUCACAUCUUCUCAGGGGCAUCCUAACCCACCCUGGCCAGACUACAUAAGGUGCCAGUCCCUAUAGAGCCAAAGGGAACUGUGGCACUUAAUUGAAAUGUAUAAUACAGGGUUGUUGAAAGAUUUUUAUUUGUUUAUUCGUUUAUUAUUUUAUAUUUUCAGUUCACUGUUGUUUCAAAAUUAUGUAUUCUCAUUUGUAUUGUUAUGGGUGUGCUUUGUUUAUUUGUGUAUUUGUUUGUUUAUUUGUGUUUAUUUCAUGAGGCAAGAGAGAGAGAGAGAGAGAGAGAGAGAGAGAGAGAGAGAGAGAGAGAGAGAGAUCGUCCCAGUUGACUUUUUCCUCCUCCUCCUUCUUCUUAACACAGAUUACUCGACUUCUGACUACAUCUCUCUCUCUCUCUCUCUCUCUCUCUCUCUCUCUCUCUGUCAUUCCAUUAUUUAAUCCCCUUUUUAAUUAUUCUUGCGUGUUUUUCCCCUUCUUUUUGCGUUUGUCUUUGUCACCACACACACUCUCUCUCUCUCUCUCUCUCUCUCUCUCUCUCUCUCUCUCGGGUACUACUGAAGGGGGAGGGGCAGGGGGGACGGGGGUGCGCAAAACACGUGCGCACUGUGACGGAAUUUGCCCAAAACUGAUGAAAUGUGACGAAGAGAAAAAUUCCAUUACAAAAAGAAAAAUUUCGUCCCUUUAAAUCCGUCCUUUACUUUUGAGCUGAUUAGGAAGCCACGUUUAAAAGUUGGUGUACGUACGUGUGUGUGUGUGUGUGUGUCGGUGUGUGUGUUCAUGUAUGUACGUUGUGUCCGUGUACGUCAUUGAGCAUCGUGGGAGUUGCGUGCGUGCGUGCGUGUGUGCGUGCGUUGAGGGGAAAGUUAGCAGCGAUUGACGGACAGACGCGUGAAGAGAAAGAUUUACAAGCGUGGUUAUUUCAAGGCGUAUUUCCCACCCACGGGUUUGGAACUGGUGAGGGGAGAGUGUGGCCGAGUCUCCAUCACCUGUGGGAGUUAAUCAGAUUGUUUCAAAACUUACAGCUAACUUCGAAUUAAGGAAAUCGCGCCUUUAUCGAUUGGAGAGUGCGCACUGGGACAGGCCGCCGCGUGAGGUGCCGAGUGACUAUUUACAAAAACUUUAUUAUCGCCCCUUUCCUCGGCUUCCCCAGCGAGGCUACACUCAGCAAGGCGUCAGGGGGUCAAUGGUAAAUGAAUGAAGUGUGCAGCGUGAACGGGCGAGGCGUGGGGGCCGCGGAAUAGCGUGCAAAAUAGGGACACACACUUCACACGGCUGGCACGCGGGACCACGAGCCAUCUUUCCCAGACUUGGCAAGUAAAGUCAGCAAACUUUUUCAGACUCGCUCAACUUUCUAAGAUUUGAUCGUGUGUGGAUUUUAGACAUGGACACAGCCACCUUCUGGCGGCAAAAACCCUGCAGCACACGCCACUGACACCUGCGGGCCGCCACACCACCGCCUCGCCGCGACAAACCAGGUGGCCUGGCCCGUUCUCUAUGGAUGCUUGAAGGAGAUACUCGCUCAUUGCUGCAAGAAUGGCGAGAGGAAGAAGCAACAGGGCAGGGGGAGGAGGGGGAGGAGGAGGUGGGGGAGGAGGGAGGGAGAGGAGAGAAGGGGGGACAAGAGCGAGACCUCCCCCACACGCUCCUCCCGUCCCUCCUACACCAGCCUCUUCCCACGCCCCCCCACAGCCGCCUCCACGCCCCCCUCGCCCACCACGGCUGCCCCCCCACCGCGGCUGAU
Molecule: long non-coding RNA, 1894 nt
Organism: Scylla paramamosain (green mud crab)
Lineage: Eukaryota; Metazoa; Arthropoda; Malacostraca; Decapoda; Portunidae
Exons: 3
Source: RefSeq, a predicted model, not a curated record